Molecule: ribosomal RNA, 1383 nt
Filed under: uncultured bacterium
Lineage: Bacteria
Description: 16S ribosomal RNA
Rfam family: Bacterial small subunit ribosomal RNA
Source: RNAcentral
UUCGCCCUUAGAGUUUGAUCCUGGCUCAGGAUGAAUGCUGGCGGCGUGCCUAACACAUGCAAGUCGAACGGUUAAACCGCCCUUCGGGGCGGACAUACAGUGGCGAACGGGUGAGUAACACGUGACCAACCUGCCCCGCACCCCGGGACAACCGCCGGAAACGGCGGCUAAUACCGGAUACUCUCCGAGGCGCGCAUGCGCCACGGAGGAAAGCUCCGACGGUGCGGGAUGGGGUCGCAGCCCAUUAGGUAGUAGGCGGGGCAACGGCCCACCUAGCCUGCGAUGGGUAGCCGGCCUGAGAGGGCGAUCGGCCACAUUGGGACUGAGAUACGGCCCAGACUCCUACGGGAGGCAGCAGUGGGGAAUAUUGCGCAAUGGGGGAAACCCUGACGCAGCAACGCCGCGUGCGGGAUGACGGCCUUCGGGUUGUAAACCGCUUUCAGCAGGGAAGAACAUCGACGGUACCUGCAGAAGAAGCCCCCGCUAACUACGUGCCAGCAGCCGCGGUAAUACGUAGGAGGCAAGCGUUAUCCGGAAUGACUGGGCGUAAAGGGUGCGUAGGUGGUUUGACAAGUUGGUAGCGUAAUUCCGAGGCUCAACCUCGGCACUACUACCAAAACUGUUGGACUUGAGUGCAGGAGGGGCAACUGGAAUUCCUAGUGUAGCGGUGGAAUGCGUAGAUAUUAGGAGGAACACCAGUGGCGAAGGCGAGUUGCUGGACUGUAACUGACACUGAGGCACGAAAGCGUGGGGAGCAAACAGGAUUAGAUACCCUGGUAGUCCACGCUGUAAACGAUGAAUACUAGGUGUAGGGGGUAUCGACUCCCUCUGUGCCGCCGCUAACGCAUUAAGUAUUCCGCCUGGGGACUACGGCCGCAAGGUUGAAACUCAAAGAAAUUGACGGGGACCCGCACAAGCAGCGGAGCAUGUGGUUUAAUUCGACGCAACGCGAAAAACCUUACCAGGCCUUGACAUCGAGUGAAAGUCUUAGAGAUAAGACCCUCCUUCGGGACACGAAGACAGGUGCUGCAUGGUUGUCGUCAGCUCGUGUCGUGAGAUGUUAGGUUAAGUCCUGCAACGAGCGCAACCCUCAUAUGUAGUUGCCAUCAUUCAGUUGGGCACUCUGCAUAGACUGCCGUGGUCAGCACGGAGGAAGGUGGGGAUGACGUCAAAUCAUCACGGCCCUUACGGCCUGGGCUACACACGUGCUACAAUGGCUAUUACAAAGAGUUGCAAUACAGCAAUGUGGAGCGAAUCUCAAAAAGAUAGUCUCAGUUCGGACUGUGGGCUGCAACCCGCCCACACGAAGUCGGAGUUGCUAGUAAUCCCGAAUCAGCAUGUCGGGGUGAAUGCGUUCCCGGGUCUUGCACACAAGGCCCGUCA